This 987-nucleotide ribosomal RNA is filed under the name Triticum aestivum (bread wheat). RNAcentral's name for it is "partial small subunit ribosomal RNA". Lineage: Eukaryota; Viridiplantae; Streptophyta; Magnoliopsida; Poales; Poaceae. The record is from RNAcentral.
AUGGGAAUCCAAAGAGUUUGCGUCGUCGUUGCUCUGCUUUGUAUAUGCCUGAGAGAGGGUGGAGCUGUGACAUUCACGUUCCUGAACCGGUGCACGGGGACGGUGUGGCCGGGCAUCCUGUCCAACGCCGGGACGGCGAGGAUCGAGCCCACGGGCUUCGCGCUCCCGCCCGGCGCGGCGCGCGCGCUGCCGUUCCCGACCGGCUGGUCAGGCCGGAUGUGGGCGCGCACGGGCUGCGCGCAGGACGCGGCCGGGCGGUUCGCGUGCGCCACGGGCGACUGCGGCACCGGCACGCUGGAGUGCGCCGGCCGGGACGGGGCGACGCCCGCGACACUGGCGGAGUUCACGCUCGACGGCGGCGGGCACAACGACUUCUACGACGUGAGCCUCGUGGACGGCUACAACCUGCCGAUCCUGGUGGAGCCCGCGGGGAGCAGCCCCACCGGCACGACGUGCGCCGCGGCGGGCUGCUCAGCGGACCUGAACCUGCGGUGCCCCACGGAGCUCCGGUCUGCGGGCGGCGGCGCGUGCCGGAGCGCGUGCGACGCGUUCGGCAAGCCGGAAUACUGCUGCAGCGGCGCGUUCGCCAACCCCAACACCUGCCACCCCACAGCCUACUCGCAGGCGUUCAAGCUGGCGUGCCCGCGCUCCUACAGCUACGCCUUCGACGACCCCACCAGCACCUUCACCUGCGCCGGCGGCCGCGACUACACCAUCACCUUCUGCCCCGUCGCCACCCCAAGCCUGAAAUCGGCGGGUGGGGCGACGGUGGUGCCAACGCCGACGAUGCCGGGCUCGACAGGGUUCGCGCCCCCGAUGAUGCCGAGGCAAGCAGGUGGCCAAGCCGACGGCCAGGGCGUGAUACUGGGGGACAACUCCUGGCUCGCCAACAUGGCCACCGGCGACAUGUCGGCGGCGACGCCGAGGACGACGGCGAUGAUCCCGGCCGCGCCACUCGCACUGUUCAUCCUCCGGUUGCUUCUAUAG